GUUUGAUCCUGGCUCAGAGCGAACGUUAGCGGCAGGCUUAACACAUGCAAGUCGAGCGAGAAAGGGGCUUCGGCUCCGAGUAAAGCGGCGGACGGGUGCGUAACACGUGGAUAAUCUGCCUCGUGGCGGGGGACAACAGUCCGAAAGGACUGCUAAUACCGCAUGUCAGGUCGGAAACUCCGGUUUCUGACGAAAAAGAGGGCGUCCGCAAGGAGCUCUCACCACGAGAUGAGUCCGCGUCCCAUCAGCUAGUUGGCGGUGUAAUGGACCACCAAGGCUUAGACGGUAGCUGGUCUGAGAGGAUGACCAGCCACACUGGGACUGAGACACGGCCCAGACUCCUACGGGAGGCAGCAGUGGGGAAUAUUGGACAAUGGGCGAAAGCCUGAUCCAGCCAUGCCGCGUGAGUGAUGAAGG
RNAcentral lists this ribosomal RNA (417 nucleotides) under uncultured bacterium. RNAcentral's name for it is "bacterial SSU rRNA". It matches the Rfam family "Bacterial small subunit ribosomal RNA", at positions 11 to 414 of the family's 1533-position model. The record is from RNAcentral.